UACGUAGGGGGGCAAGCGUUGUCCGGAAUCAUUGGGCGUAAAGCGCGUGUAGGCGGCCCGGUAAGUCCGCUGUGAAAGUCGGGGGCUCAACCCUCGGAUGCCGGUGGAUACUGUCGGGCUAGAGUGCGGGAGAGGCGAGUGGAAUUCCUGGUGUAGCGGUGAAAUGACGCAGAUAUCUGGAGGAACACCGGUGGCGAAGGCGGCAUCCUGGACCGGCAUUGACGCUGAGGCGCGAAAGCCAGGGGAGCAAAGCGGGG
RNAcentral lists this ribosomal RNA (257 nucleotides) under uncultured bacterium. Its description in RNAcentral is "partial 16S ribosomal RNA". It matches the Rfam family "Bacterial small subunit ribosomal RNA", at positions 524 to 778 of the family's 1533-position model. The record is from RNAcentral.